AUACGUAGGGUGCGAGCGUUGUCCGGAAUUACUGGGCGUAAAGAGCUCGUAGGUGGUUUGUCGCGUCGUCUGUGAAAUUCCGGGGCUUAACUCCGGGCGUGCAGGCGAUACGGGCAUAACUUGAGUACUGUAGGGGAGACUGGAAUUCCUGGUGUAGCGGUGAAAUGCGCAGAUAUCAGGAGGAACACCGGUGGCGAAGGCGGGUCUCUGGGCGGUAACUGACGCUGAGGAGCGAAAGCAUGGGUAGCGAACAGGAUUAGAUCCCCUGGUAGUCCAUGCCGUAAACGGUGGGCGCUAGGUGUAGGGGUCUUCCACGACUUCUGUGCCGUAGCUAACGCAUUAAGCGCCCCGCCUGGGGAGUACGGCCGCAAGGCUAAAACUCAAAUGAAUUGACGGGG
Molecule: ribosomal RNA, 398 nt
Filed under: uncultured bacterium
Lineage: Bacteria
Description: partial 16S ribosomal RNA
Rfam family: Bacterial small subunit ribosomal RNA
Source: RNAcentral